UUCUCUGUUUUGUGAGUCCGCCAGGUCAGAGGCAGUAGGGACGACCGGGGAUGUUCUCUGUUUUGUGAGUCCGCCAGGUCAGAGGCAGUAGGGACGACCGGGGAUGUUCUCUGUUUUGUGAGUCCGCCAGAUCAGAGGCAGUAGGGACGACCGGGGAUGUUCUCUGUUUUGUGAGUCCGCCAGAUCAGAGGCAGUAGGGACGACCGGGGAUGUUCUCUGUUUUGUGAGUCCGCCAGAUCAGAGGCAGUAGGGACGACCGGGGAUGUUCUCUGUUUUGUGAGUCCGCCAGGUCAGAGGCAGUAGGGACGACCGGGGAUGUUCUCUGUUUUGUGAGUCCGCCAGGUCAGAGGCAGUAGGGACGACCGGGGAUGUUCUGUUUUGUGAGUCCGCCAGAUCAGAGGCAGUAGGAAUGACCGGGGAUGUUCUUGUGAUAAGUGUGUGAAUUGGAUCAUUUUCUGUCCUGCUAAGCAUUCGAAAUAUAACGAGUAAUUUUGGGUGUCAGGGAAAAUGUAUGGAGUAAAAUGGACAUUUCCUUUAGGAAAAUGGAGUAAAAGUUGUCAAAUGUAAAUAGUGAAGUACAGUUACCCCAAAAACUACUGAAGUACUUUACACCACUUAUGUUUCUAAUUAAAUUAUAAAGUUAGCUUUAAAAAAAUGUUUUGUUGCAUUUUUAACCAGCCCAUUUCCUUAGCAGUUAAUGUCAGAGGUCACCAUGUGGGAGAAAUAUAUGCGUUUCCCACUAGUAUUUGCCAAUUGGAGGGCUGUUCAAGUGGAUUUUUCCCCAGUUGUAUGUGGUAAAUGUCUACUUCUAUCUUGCUUAUGAGCGCACCAUGGCACUGCCUCCUACAGUGCCAGAUGUGUGCUUGUGACUCUCAUAAAGGGGGAGUAUCUGUAGCGCGGUACAUCUCCCACUCCUGGUUAAUGUGAUGGGCGGUCACUGUUAAGCGCAACACAGGGUGCACUGGCCACUUAAUUGAAAACUUUGGCUUGCUUAUAUAGAGUGAGUACUACCUGUUUGCUGAGGUGCACGAGGUAAGUUCGUAAUGUGGCUCAAGUACUUUUCACGAGGUGCUGAAACCCCCUAUUCUCAAAUCACUGAGAAGGGGUGCAUAUCCGACUGUAAAAAAUCUAAACAUAGCCUACCUAGCACGCUUGUAAUUUCUUUGGCCUGGUCAGAAUCAGCUGCCAAGUUCUGGUUUAAUGCAGAGGGGUGCUGUUUCUUUGAGUUUGUCUUGCUCCGGUAUACUGGGGUGAUGUCGGUAUAAAUGUGUCAAAAUACAGUGGGUUCGGAAUGUAUUCAGACCCCUUGACUUUUUCAACAUUUUGUUACGUUACAGCCAUAUUCUAAAAUUGAUGAAAUCAUUCCCCCCCUGAAUCUGCACACAUUACCCCAUAAUGACAAGGCACAACCAGGAUUUUAGAAAUUUGCACAUUUUAUUAAAAAUAAACUGAAAUAUUACAUUUACAUUAGAAUUCAGACCUGUUACUCAGUACUUUGUUGACGCACAUUUGGCAGCGAUUAAAGCAUAGUCUUCUUCGGUAUGACACUACAAGAUUGGCACACCUGUAUUUGGGGAGUGUCUCCCAUUCUUCUCUGCAGAUCCUCUCAAGCUGUGUCAGGUUGGGUGGAGAGCGUUGCUGUACAGCCAUUUUCAGGUCUCCAGAGAUGUUCAAUCGGGUUCAAGUCCGGGCUCUGGCUGGGCCACUCGAGCACAUUCAGAGACUUGUGCUGAAGCCACUCCUGUGUUGUCUUGGCUGUGUGGUUAGGGUCAUUGUCCUGUUGGAAGGUGAACCUUCGCCCUCGUCUGAGGUCCUAAUCGCUCUGGAGCAGGUUUUCAUCAAGGAUCUCUGUACUUUGCACUGUUCAUCUUUCCCUCGACCUUGACUAGACUCCUAGUCCCUGCUGAUGAAAAACAUCUCCACAGCAUGAUUCUGACACCAACUUGCCUUUCCGUAGGGAUGGUGCAAGGUUUCCUUCAGACGUGACGCUUGGCAUUCAUGCCGAAGAGUUCAAUCUUGGUUUCGUCAGACCAGAGAAUCUUAUUUUUUAUCAUUUUUGCCAACUCCAAAGGCUGUAAUGUGCCUUUUACUGAGGAGUGGCUUCUGUCUGGCCACUACCAUAAAUGCCUGAUUGGUGGAGUGCUGCAGAGAUGGUUGUCCUUCUGUAAGUUUCUCCCAUCUCCACAGAGGAGCUCUGUCAGUGACCAUCGGGUUCUUGGUCACCUCCCUGACCAAGGCCCUUCUCCCCUGAUUGUUUAGUGUGGCCAGCUCUAGGAAGAGUCUUGGUGGUUUCACACUUCUCCUAUUUAAGAAUGAUGGAGGCCACUGUGUUCUUGGGGACCUUCAAUGCUGCAGACAUUUUUUUGUUGGUACCCUUCCCCAGAUCUGUGCAUCAACACAAUCCUGUCUCUGAGCUGUAUGGACAAUUCCUUCGACUUCAUGACUUGCUUUUUGCUCGGACAUGCACUGCCAACUGUGGGACCUUAUAUAGACAGGUGUGUGCCUUUCCAAAUCAUGUUCAAUCAAUUGAAUUUAUCACAGGUGGACUCCAAGUUGUAGAAACAUCUCAAACGUGAUCAAUUGGAACAGGAUGCACCUGAGCUCAAUUUUGAGUCUCACAGCAAAGGUCUGAAUACUUAUGUAAAUAAGAUAUAUUUCUGCUUUUUUUUAAUCAAACCUGUGUUCACUUUGUCAUUAUGGGGUAUUGUGUGUAGAUGAGGAUUUAGAAUAAGGCUGUAACUUAACAAUGUGGAAAAAGUAAAGGUGUCUGAAUUCUUUCAGAAUGCACUAUAUUUGAGGAGUCUGCAGACUGCUGCAUAGGUGAUUCUCGUUGAGCGUGGAGACAUAAUGGUAACGUUUUGUCCACAACUCUGUCCAUCGCCAUUGUAAUCUAAUGUUCCCAAACUGGAGAUUUAAACGGUGAUUGAGGAUCCUCAAAAUCAGGUUUAUCGACUCCCUACACUCGUCUAUUUUAUAAAGUUUUAAUUCUUACGUUAUUAUUAGUACAGAACUCGUUUUUGACAGCACCUCACAAAAGGACAAUUUCAAAUGUGGCAAUUUAAGAUUAUAAUUAUAAUUACAACGUACGCAUAGGCUCUAGUUGUUUUAAGAGAAUAUCCUGAAAUGUUUUUUCAGAUUUAGUUGAGGCAUAGACCUACAACGCAGUAGGCAUAGCCUAUAGGUCUAGUGUUUUAUAUAUUUUAUGCCAUUUUUGUAUUUUUUUUCGGAUUCACAUUGCGGACUGAAUUGAAGUCCCUGGUACGAAUGUGAACCGUAAACACCCCUAGUUAGCGGCAGGCGGACGACCAAUAUCCACCAUUGUAGUACGGAUGAACCCUGAGCUGGAAUGUGACGCUAGAUCAUUUCAGUAACGCCUCGGUACAUCUAGCUACGUACUGGUCACAGUACAGUUUCUGAUUGCCCCAUGCCUCUCUUUCUCCAUGGACUAUUUGUG
This is a long non-coding RNA of Oncorhynchus keta (chum salmon), 3454 nucleotides long. RefSeq lists it as uncharacterized. The transcript has 3 exons. Lineage: Eukaryota; Metazoa; Chordata; Actinopteri; Salmoniformes; Salmonidae. The record is from RefSeq and is a predicted model, not a curated record.